RNAcentral lists this ribosomal RNA (296 nucleotides) under uncultured Pseudomonas sp. RNAcentral describes it as "partial 16S ribosomal RNA". It matches the Rfam family "Bacterial small subunit ribosomal RNA", at positions 1085 to 1382 of the family's 1533-position model. The record is from RNAcentral. Lineage: Bacteria; Pseudomonadati; Pseudomonadota; Gammaproteobacteria; Pseudomonadales; Pseudomonadaceae.
UCCGUACGAGCGCAACCCUUGUCCUUAGUUACCAGCACGUUAUGGUGGGCACUCUAAGGAGACUGCCGGUGACAAACCGGAGGAAGGUGGGGAUGACGUCAAGUCAUCAUGGCCCUUACGGCCUGGGCUACACACGUGCUACAAUGGUCGGUACAAAGGGUUGCCAAGCCGCGAGGUGGAGCUAAUCCCAUAAAACCGAUCGUAGUCCGGAUCGCAGUCUGCAACUCGACUGCGUGAAGUCGGAAUCGCUAGUAAUCGUGAAUCAGAAUGUCACGGUGAAUACGUUCCCGGGCCUU